RNAcentral lists this unclassified non-coding RNA (25 nucleotides) under Mus musculus (house mouse). RNAcentral describes it as "oocyte_clustered_small_RNA5464". The record is from RNAcentral. Lineage: Eukaryota; Metazoa; Chordata; Mammalia; Rodentia; Muridae.
UCUGGCAGGCUGCCAGCCCACAUGA